AAUGAGGUCCCAGGAUUGUCCCUUUCCAAUCCAAAGAGACUCUCCAGGAUAGUCAGCAACAAAGGUACCCUCCUAGUCAGCAGCAAUAUUAGCCUCUCGGCAAACAUGCCUGGAAAUAUAAGCUUGACAACUAGGUAACAUCAUAGAUAUAUCCUUCAAAAGAAGGUAAGCAUGAUCAUCAAGGAAACGACCCUGAAUCCAAGUCACCACCACAGCCGAGUCAUCUUCAAUAAUGAGAUGGUCAGCCCCUAGGAUUUGCCUGGCAUGUAGAAUCCUAACCCAAGCAGCCCGCAACUUCACCUCGAAAACCAUGGGUGUAAAGAGAUGGCUUCCCCCAGCAGCAAUCAACCUAGAGUCAUGACCAUGGAUCAUGAAGCCAACCCUACCCUAUCCAUGCCAAACGUUGCUGUUGAAGUUGACCUUCAAUAUCUCGAAGGAGGGGGAUCCCAAGUGAUGAACACCUAUCGGGUUACUACACGAACAGGAUGGGAGUCCCAAAUCUUCAAGUGUCUGGAGGUCACAUCUAUCAUCUUCGUAGAUAAGAUAUGGACACACUUCACAAUAAAUCUUGCUAAGUUCUUCUAGACUCAAACACCAGGCUGUUCCUGAAAAACCAAAUGUGAUAGGCCAUAUAUGCUGCCCAGAGAUCCCCCC
This 654-nucleotide long non-coding RNA is filed under the name Elaeis guineensis (African oil palm). RNAcentral describes it as "long non-coding RNA (EGUI_LNC023306)". Lineage: Eukaryota; Viridiplantae; Streptophyta; Magnoliopsida; Arecales; Arecaceae. The record is from RNAcentral.